AUGCUUACCUGGCGUAGGAGACACCGUAAGCAUGAAGGGGCUUCCUGUAGGGUGAUGCUCCCCCAGUGCACUAAGACGAGCUAACCUCUGGGAUUACUCCAUCGGCGAGUAACUCGGGCACAUAAUUUUUGGUAGUCGGAGUGUGUUUGCGCUAGCCCGGU
This is a small nuclear RNA of Schistocerca cancellata (South American locust), 161 nucleotides long. RefSeq annotates it as U1 spliceosomal RNA. Lineage: Eukaryota; Metazoa; Arthropoda; Insecta; Orthoptera; Acrididae. The record is from RefSeq and is a predicted model, not a curated record. The transcript has a single exon.